RNAcentral lists this long non-coding RNA (1284 nucleotides) under Malus domestica (apple). RNAcentral describes it as "long non-coding RNA (MDOM_LNC012915)". Lineage: Eukaryota; Viridiplantae; Streptophyta; Magnoliopsida; Rosales; Rosaceae. The record is from RNAcentral.
CUUGAAUGCUUGAUUCCGUAUUAGUAACUAUGUUUUACAAUCGUUGUAAAAGUGUGACUAAUAAGAAGUAAAAGAUAUAUGAGAGAAGAAAAAGGUGCUUCACAUUCGGAACGUGAAUAAAAUAUAGAUCUCUGCGAAAGCAGAUAGUACUUACUUCCUCAUAUGAACUACCAAAGAAAUUGGAAAAACCAAAGAUAGUCUUUACAUUCCAAUUUUAAGGAACUUAAUUCCGUCGCUAUAGUAGAGAUGGAUGAAUGCUUUGUUUGACAAAACAUUGUUCUUUAUUAAUCAAUGAUUGGAUUAUAGUAAUCUAAUUGAUUGUCUCUAUAGUAGAGAUGAUAUGGUAGUGUUAACUGUUUAGAAUAUAAUGAUGCUUAAAACCCAAAAGGUUGCAAGGUAGUGACUAAUCCCAACUGAGUUGUGAUACCUCUAAAACAUAAGUUAUGAGUUGGUGAAAAUGGAUGCUUUGGAUUGUUAGAUCCGGAUCCAAUACCUUCUUAUUAAAAUUGUACAGAGGCGAAAUGUUCGAAUCUUUAUUCUUUUGGAAAGAAGAAAGAUUCACAAAGUUGUUGAGGUUAAUUCACUUAGAUAUUAGUGGCACUUGUCCACAACAUAAUACUACUCAUGUUGUAUGACGUUCACCGAAGAUCACUCUCGGUUGGACUAUAGUUUAUUUUGAAUAAACACAAGUCCGAAUACUUUGCAAAAGGUUUCAAAGAAUUCAAGAAAUGUAAGUUAAUGAGUAAGACGUCUAAAGUAUUUACCUCCUUAGAUUUGAUCCAAGGAAAAGUAACACUUUAGAUGAGUUUCCUUGAAAGAUAUCAAGGAAAGAAGCAUCAUAAGAUAAUGAAUUUCUCCAUUAGGAGAAGAACGAACUUGAAUAAGAUUUAGUUCGUUAGAUGUUAUCUAUUACCCAUAUAUAGGAUAUAUACUUCUAAAAACAAUAUGAUUGUAAAUUAGAAGAUCUUUCCAAAAUUUUCAUGACUCCAUAAGAUGUAGUUGGAAAGAAAGACAAAUCUUAAGCAUGUUAAGAUUUGGGGUUGUGUGCUAAUUAGCAAUAUUUGUUUGAUAACAAUCUUGUGGGAUAUCCUUAAAUUAACUUUUGGAUAUCGCUUCUAUAAACCAACUAACAAAUGUUGUUUUGUUGGGUAGUUCAUUGUAAUCCUACAAUGUGAUUUGCCUAAGAGCUAAUGAACGAGAGAUAGAACUCAAAGGAUGGGUUCUUUGAGAGACAAGAAAGUAAUCAACAAAUAUAACAACCUAGUUCCUAUACCAAAGGCUCCA